CAGUCGCCACGGUAAUACGAAGGGGGCUAGCGUUGUUCGGAAUUACUGGGCGUAAAGCGCACGUAGGCGGAUAUUUAAGUCAGGGGUGAAAUCCCGCAGCUCAACUGCGGAACUGCCUUUGAUACUGGGUAUCUUGAGUAUGGAAGAGGUUAGUGGAAUUGCGAGUGUAGAGGUGAAAUUCGUAGAUAUUCGCAGGAACACCAGUGGCGAAGGCGGCUAACUGGUCCAUAACUGACGCUGAGGUGCGAAAGCGUGGGGAGCAAACAGGAUUAGAUACCCCAGUAGUCCCUGUCUCUUAUAC
RNAcentral lists this ribosomal RNA (301 nucleotides) under uncultured bacterium. Its description in RNAcentral is "partial 16S ribosomal RNA". It matches the Rfam family "Bacterial small subunit ribosomal RNA", at positions 509 to 807 of the family's 1533-position model. The record is from RNAcentral.